RNAcentral lists this ribosomal RNA (494 nucleotides) under uncultured bacterium. RNAcentral describes it as "partial 16S ribosomal RNA". It matches the Rfam family "Bacterial small subunit ribosomal RNA", at positions 28 to 507 of the family's 1533-position model. The record is from RNAcentral.
GACGAACGCUGGCGGCGCGCUUAACACAUGCAAGUCGAACGGAAAGGCCUGCUAUCCCUUGUGGAUUGCGGGUACUCGAGUGGCGAACGGGUGAGUAACACGUGAGUGAUCUGCCCCCAACUUGGGUAUAAGCCUGGGAAACUGGGUCUAAUUCCCGAUAGGACUGCAGGGUGGUGCCUGUGGUGGAAAACGAUUUUCUAGUGGUUGGGGAUGAGCUCGCGGCCUAUCAGCUUGUUGGUGGGGUAAUGGCCUACCAAGGCGGCGACGGGUAGCCGGCCUGAGAGGGUGGACGGCCACAUUGGGACUGAGAUACGGCCCAGACUCCUACGGGAGGCAGCAGUGGGGAAUGUUGCACGAUGGGCGGAAGCCUGAUGCAGCGACGCCGCGUGGGGGAUGACGGCCUUCGGGUUGUAAACUCCUUUCGACCGCGAGGAAGCCACCUGGUUGGAAGGGUGGUGACGGUAGUGGUAGAAGAAGCACCGGCUAACUACGUG